CCGGUCUUAGCUCAGUGGUAGAGCGGGAGACUGUAGUGAACACUGUCAUCUCUAGGUCACUAGUUCAAAUCUGGUAGACCGGA
Molecule: transfer RNA, 83 nt
Filed under: Backusella circina FSU 941
Lineage: Eukaryota; Fungi; Mucoromycota; Mucoromycetes; Mucorales; Backusellaceae
Description: tRNA-Tyr
Rfam family: tRNA
About the family: Transfer RNA (tRNA) molecules are approximately 80 nucleotides in length. Their secondary structure includes four short double-helical elements and three loops (D, anti-codon, and T loops). Further hydrogen bonds mediate the characteristic L-shaped molecular structure. tRNAs have two regions of fundamental functional importance: the anti-codon, which is responsible for specific mRNA codon recognition, and the 3' end, to which the tRNAs corresponding amino acid is attached (by aminoacyl-tRNA synthetases). tRNAs cope with the degeneracy of the genetic code in two manners: having more than one tRNA (with a specific anti-codon) for a particular amino acid; and 'wobble' base-pairing, i.e. permitting non-standard base-pairing at the 3rd anti-codon position.
Source: RNAcentral